This 619-nucleotide ribosomal RNA is filed under the name Bacillus subtilis. RNAcentral's name for it is "bacterial SSU rRNA". It matches the Rfam family "Bacterial small subunit ribosomal RNA", at positions 39 to 641 of the family's 1533-position model. The record is from RNAcentral. Lineage: Bacteria; Bacillati; Bacillota; Bacilli; Caryophanales; Bacillaceae.
GCGGUCGAGCCUGAUACAUGCAAGUCUAGCGGACAGAUGGGAGCUUGCUCCCUGAUGUUAGCGGCGGACGGGUGAGUAACACGGGGGUAACCUGCCUGUAAGACUGGGAUAACUCCGGGAAACCGGGGCUAAUACCGGAUGGUUGUUUGAACCGCAUGGUUCAAAACAUAGGUGGCUUUGGCUACCACUUACAGAUGGACCCGCGGCGCAUUAGCUAGUUGGUGAGGUAACGGCUGCCAAGGCAACGAUGCGUAGCCGACCUGAGAGGGUGAUCGGCCACACUGGGACUGAGACACGGCCCAGACUCCUACGGGAGGCAGCAGUAGGGAAUCUUCCGCAAUGGACGAAAGUCUGACGGAGCAACGCCGCGUGAGUGAUGAAGGUUUUCGGAUCGUAAAGCUCUGUUGUUAGGGAAGAACAAGUACCGUUCGAAUAGGGCGGUACCUUGACGGUACCUAACCAGAAAGCCACGGCUUUCUACGUGCCAGCAGCCGCGGUAAUACGUAGGUGGCAAGCGUUGUCCGGAAUUAUUGGGCGUAAAGGGCUCGCAGGCGGUUUCUUAAGUCUGAUGUGAAAGCCCCCGGCUCAACCCGGGGAGGGUCAUUGGAAACUGGGGAAC